CCCCCGCCUUCCGGGACCCGAGCACUUCCUCUUUGUACGCCCGAAGCGAGGACGUACUUCCGGCGCGCGGGCCACGGCGUGCGCACGCGUGCUGCUCUCCUGGCCCGGCAGAUUCCGCCACCGAAGCUUCUCAGUACGGUGCUUCGAAGUCAGACGUCAAAUCGGGGACCGAAAAUAGUAGUGUGGGCGGGAGGGCAGAGGGACAGAGGCGGAGGGGAGGCACAGCUCCCCACCCUACCUUGCCGGGGCUACGGAGAAGGCCGGCCACGCCUCCGCCUCCUCGUGACGUCACUCCCGCGCCGCUGUUGGUGUGUCCCGUCUGCUUCGCACGCUCUUUGCAGUCUUACGGGUUGUCCUUUCGACCCCUCUCCAGCCACUCCUCCCGGGGGUCCAGCGGCCCGGGGGCCCAAUUCGCGUCCCGAAAGCUGGAGAGCCGCGGACGCAGAGGGGCGUGUGUGCAGCCCCGGGCGGGCUCCGGAAGGGCAGGCUACGCGUGGCUGAGGAGGCGAGGGCAGAGCACCGCUGUUUGCGGAGCCUCGCAGCGCGGCGCAGACUUGCCAUCAGCGCUAUCCGGGGUCUGCGGCAAGCGGCAUGCUGGGGAAGACGUGUUGCUCCCGGUCGGCACAUUGACCAGCCUCCGGAUUCCUUGCAGGAGGGGACAAUAUCGCUGAACAAUUAAUGCACCAAAUAAAGCGAAUCAAUUAAUGUGCGACUGUUAGUGAAUUGGAUUUGUGUUGCGCGCUGCUUCUGGCAUCUUUUUUCGUGGAGGUGCCCCCUGUGCGUCUCGACCUAAUGUGGUAUAAUAUGUGGUCCUCUCUCUCUUUAAACUGUGACCUCUUUGUAGGCAGUGACAGAGUCCUCUCUUGUCUUCAGAUCCUAGCACUUACCAAGAGCUUAGUAGGUGUUUGUGUAGGCCACACACCGGGUCAUGGGAUUAAUUAGAUAUUGUGCAAAGAAUUGAAACUGUAUUGACAGCAACAGAGCUAACCAGUGAAUAGUUUAAUAUGAAAUAUGAGCAAAAACGAGGGAAAGACCGUUUUCAUCUUGGGGGACAGAGAGAACAGAAAUGCCAUGUCCUCAAGCAGGAGGAACUCACUUGAAUAGGAUAAUAGCAGUACUUCGAUUUACAGGUUGUAUUUGAUGUGCUUGUGAGACAUCUUGGUGAUAAUAUCAGAAGGUUGAAAAUGUGGGUUCGUUGUUCACUUUGGGGACGGUCAGGGCUAGACAUUUAGAUCUAGUCAGCACAUUAGUGAGCUGCCUGGUACUUGUAGUCAUGGGCACGAUAAUUAGCCAAGAGGCGAAAGACUGGAGGAGUUGCCAGAAAUUUCAUAGAGGAUACAGGAUUGAUCUGUGGUAUGAAGAGAUCUUUAGCACACUUAAGGACUGGGAAAG
This 1392-nucleotide long non-coding RNA is filed under the name Lynx canadensis (Canada lynx). RNAcentral describes it as "lncRNA (ENSLCNG00005013843.1)". Lineage: Eukaryota; Metazoa; Chordata; Mammalia; Carnivora; Felidae. The record is from RNAcentral.